Molecule: transfer RNA, 73 nt
Filed under: Ailuropoda melanoleuca (giant panda)
Lineage: Eukaryota; Metazoa; Chordata; Mammalia; Carnivora; Ursidae
Rfam family: tRNA
About the family: Transfer RNA (tRNA) molecules are approximately 80 nucleotides in length. Their secondary structure includes four short double-helical elements and three loops (D, anti-codon, and T loops). Further hydrogen bonds mediate the characteristic L-shaped molecular structure. tRNAs have two regions of fundamental functional importance: the anti-codon, which is responsible for specific mRNA codon recognition, and the 3' end, to which the tRNAs corresponding amino acid is attached (by aminoacyl-tRNA synthetases). tRNAs cope with the degeneracy of the genetic code in two manners: having more than one tRNA (with a specific anti-codon) for a particular amino acid; and 'wobble' base-pairing, i.e. permitting non-standard base-pairing at the 3rd anti-codon position.
Source: Rfam by way of RNAcentral
ACCUGGCUGGCUCAGUCGGUAGAGCAUGUAACUCUUGAUUUCAGGCCUGUGAGUUUGAGUCCCACGUUGGGUA